GGCAAGAUGGCCGAGUGGUCUAAGGCGCUGCGUUUAGGUUCGUUCUAAACAUCCUCCGCAGUCCUCACGGGCGUGGGUUCGAAUCCCACUCUUGUCA
RNAcentral lists this transfer RNA (97 nucleotides) under Bipolaris maydis (southern corn leaf blight pathogen). RNAcentral's name for it is "tRNA-Leu". It matches the Rfam family "tRNA". From Rfam's summary of the family: Transfer RNA (tRNA) molecules are approximately 80 nucleotides in length. Their secondary structure includes four short double-helical elements and three loops (D, anti-codon, and T loops). Further hydrogen bonds mediate the characteristic L-shaped molecular structure. tRNAs have two regions of fundamental functional importance: the anti-codon, which is responsible for specific mRNA codon recognition, and the 3' end, to which the tRNAs corresponding amino acid is attached (by aminoacyl-tRNA synthetases). tRNAs cope with the degeneracy of the genetic code in two manners: having more than one tRNA (with a specific anti-codon) for a particular amino acid; and 'wobble' base-pairing, i.e. permitting non-standard base-pairing at the 3rd anti-codon position. Lineage: Eukaryota; Fungi; Ascomycota; Dothideomycetes; Pleosporales; Pleosporaceae. The record is from RNAcentral.